GACGUAGGGCGCGAGCGUUGUCCGGAUUUAUUGGGCGUAAAGAGCUCGUAGGCGGCUCGUUGCGUCGGCUGUGAAAACCUGCAGCUUAACUGUGGGCUUGCGGUCGAUACGGGCAUCACUGGAGUUCGGCAGGGGAGACUGGAAUUCCUGGUGUAGCGGUGAAAUGCGCAGAUAUCAGGAGGAACACCGGUGGCGAAGGCGGGUCUCUGGGCCGAUACUGACGCUGAGGAGCGAAAGCGUGGGGAGCGAACAGG
This 254-nucleotide ribosomal RNA is filed under the name uncultured bacterium. RNAcentral describes it as "partial 16S ribosomal RNA". It matches the Rfam family "Bacterial small subunit ribosomal RNA", at positions 524 to 776 of the family's 1533-position model. The record is from RNAcentral.